GGCCCCGUAGUGUAGCGGUAAACACCCUGGACUUUGAAUCCAAAAAGACGGGUUAUAAUCUCGCGAGACCU
Molecule: transfer RNA, 71 nt
Filed under: Angiostrongylus costaricensis
Lineage: Eukaryota; Metazoa; Nematoda; Chromadorea; Rhabditida; Metastrongylidae
Rfam family: tRNA
About the family: Transfer RNA (tRNA) molecules are approximately 80 nucleotides in length. Their secondary structure includes four short double-helical elements and three loops (D, anti-codon, and T loops). Further hydrogen bonds mediate the characteristic L-shaped molecular structure. tRNAs have two regions of fundamental functional importance: the anti-codon, which is responsible for specific mRNA codon recognition, and the 3' end, to which the tRNAs corresponding amino acid is attached (by aminoacyl-tRNA synthetases). tRNAs cope with the degeneracy of the genetic code in two manners: having more than one tRNA (with a specific anti-codon) for a particular amino acid; and 'wobble' base-pairing, i.e. permitting non-standard base-pairing at the 3rd anti-codon position.
Source: Rfam by way of RNAcentral